This 460-nucleotide ribosomal RNA is filed under the name uncultured bacterium. RNAcentral's name for it is "partial 16S ribosomal RNA". It matches the Rfam family "Bacterial small subunit ribosomal RNA", at positions 338 to 795 of the family's 1533-position model. The record is from RNAcentral.
CCUACGGGUGGCAGCAGUGAGGAAUAUUGGUCAAUGGACGAGAGUCUGAACCAGCCAAGUAGCGUGAAGGAUGACUGCCCUAUGGGUUGUAAACUUCUUUUAUAUGGGAAUAAAAUGUUCCACGUGUGGGAUUUUGUAUGUACCAUAUGAAUAAGGAACGGCUAACUCCGGGCCAGCAGCCGCGGUAAUACGGAGGAUCCGAGCGUUAUCCGGAUUUAUUGGGUUUAAAGGGAGCGUAGGUGGAUUGUUAAGUCAGUUGUGAAAGUUUGCGGCUCAACCGUAAAAUUGCAGUUGAAACUGGCAGUCUUGAGUACAGUAGAGGUGGGCGGAAUUCGUGGUGUAGCGGUGAAAUGCGUAGAUAUCACGAAGAACUCCGAUUGCGAAGGCAGUUCACUGGACUGCAACUGACACUGAGGCUCGAAAGUGUGGGUAUCAAACAGGAUUAGAUACCCUUGUAGUC